RNAcentral lists this ribosomal RNA (1200 nucleotides) under Halomonas sp. RNAcentral's name for it is "bacterial SSU rRNA". Lineage: Bacteria; Pseudomonadati; Pseudomonadota; Gammaproteobacteria; Oceanospirillales; Halomonadaceae. The record is from RNAcentral.
AGGGGGCUCCGGCUCCCGCUAUUGGAUGAGCCUAUGUCGGAUUAGCUAGUUGGUGAGGUAAAGGCUCACCAAGGCGACGAUCCGUAGCUGGUCUGAGAGGAUGAUCAGCCACAUCGGGACUGAGACACGGCCCGAACUCCUACGGGCAGGCAGCAGUGGGGAAUAUUGGACAAUGGGGGCAACCCUGAUCCAGCCAUGCCGCGUAUGUGAAGAAGGCCCUCGGGUUGUAAAGCACUUUCAGCGAGGAAGAACGCCUGUCGGUUAAUACCCGGUAGGAAAGACAUCAMUCGCAGAAGAAGCACCGGCUAACUCCGUGCCAGCAGCCGCGGUAAUACGGAGGGUGCAAGCGUUAAUCGGAAUUACUGGGCGUAAAGCGCGCGUAGGUGGCUUGAUAAGCCGGUUGUGAAAGCCCCGGGCUCAACCUGGGAACGGCAUCCGGAACUGUCAGGCUAGAGUGCAGGAGAGGAAGGUAGAAUUCCCGGUGUAGCGGUGAAAUGCGUAGAGAUCGGGAGGAAUACCAGUGGCGAAGGCGGCCUUCUGGACUGACACUGACACUGAGGUGCGAAAGCGUGGGUAGCAAACAGGAUUAGAUACCCUGGUAGUCCACGCCGUAAACGAUGUCGACCAGCCGUUGGGUGCCUAGCGCACUUUGUGGCGAAGUUAACGCGAUAAGUCGACCGCCUGGGGAGUACGGCCGCAAGGUUAAAACUCAAAUGAAUUGACGGGGGCCCGCACAAGCGGUGGAGCAUGUGGUUUAAUUCGAUGCAACGCGAAGAACCUUACCUACCCUUGACAUCUACAGAAGCCGGAAGAGAUUCUGGUGUGCCUUCGGGAACUGUAAGACAGGUGCUGCAUGGCUGUCGUCAGCUCGUGUUGUGAAAUGUUGGGUUAAGUCCCGUAACGAGCGCAACCCUUGUCCUUAUUUGCCAGCACGUAAUGGUGGGAACUCUAAGGAGACUGCCGGUGACAAACCGGAGGAAGGUGGGGACGACGUCAAGUCAUCAUGGCCCUUACGGGUAGGGCUACACACGUGCUACAAUGGCCGGUACAAAGGGCUGCGAGCUCGCGAGAGUCAGCGAAUCCCUUAAAGCCGGUCUCAGUCCGGAUCGGAGUCUGCAACUCGACUCCGUGAAGUCGGAAUCGCUAGUAAUCGUGAAUCAGAAUGUCACGGUGAAUACGUUCCCGGGCCUUGUACACACC